Molecule: ribosomal RNA, 405 nt
Filed under: uncultured prokaryote
Description: bacterial SSU rRNA
Rfam family: Bacterial small subunit ribosomal RNA
Source: RNAcentral
UGGGGAAUAUUGGGCAAUGGGGGAACCCCUGACCCAGCAACGCCGCGUGAAGGAAGAAGGCUUUCGGGUUGUAAACUUCUUUGACCAGGGACGAAACAAAUGACGGUACCUGGAAAACAAGCCACGGCUAACUACGUGCCAGCAGCCGCGGUAAUACGUAGGUGGCAAGCGUUGUCCGGAGUUACUGGGUGUAAAGGGCGCGUAGGCGGGACUGCAAGUCAGAUGCGAAAUCUGGGGGCUUAACCCUCAAACUGCAUUUGAAACUGUAGUUCUUGAGUAUCGGAGAGGCAGGCGGAAUUCCAGGUGUAGCGGUGAAAUGCGUAGAUAUCAAUAGGAACGCCAAUGGCGAAAGCAGCUUUUUGGAGGAUUCCUGACUCUGAGGCACGAAGGCUAGGGUAGCAAGCA